Molecule: long non-coding RNA, 509 nt
Organism: Cucumis sativus (cucumber)
Lineage: Eukaryota; Viridiplantae; Streptophyta; Magnoliopsida; Cucurbitales; Cucurbitaceae
Exons: 2
Source: RefSeq, a predicted model, not a curated record
ACCGCCUGACUUUUCUUCUUCCAUUAUUCAUCUGUUCGAUCAUAAAAUUCAGAGCUGUGUUGAGGGAGGGUUUGAGAAAAUUGGAAGCAGAGAUUAUGUAGUUUGGAGUUUGAAGAAGUUAAAGAAACUACAAGCUCAAAUCCUUUCUCUUGACAUAUUGAAUUCACGUCGCCAUUCUAUGGUUUUUAAGAUGAUUUGAACAACUUAGGAAGAAUUAAAAGGUUGGAUUCUGUUGUUGACGUUGAGUGUACUUCGUAACAACGAUGUUGUCGUGAGUGUUGAGCGGGCUCCACUACAACAAAGAUGAUGGGAAUGCUAGGUGGGCUCUACUACAUCGUAGAGCUAGUAAAUGUUGGAUAUACUGGGUGUGCCCUACACAACGUAGAUUUGUCAUGUUAUUAAAUGUUUAAUAUUCUUGAUAUGUCUUGCUAGAUUUCAAUGAAAAACUUGUUGAGUAUUUGAGUAACAUGUUAUUAGUACACGUUUAUAUUUAAGGUUUUGAUUAACUA